This 419-nucleotide ribosomal RNA is filed under the name uncultured bacterium. Its description in RNAcentral is "bacterial SSU rRNA". It matches the Rfam family "Bacterial small subunit ribosomal RNA", at positions 361 to 772 of the family's 1533-position model. The record is from RNAcentral.
AUAUUGGACAAUGGGGGCAACCCUGAUCCAGCCAUGCCGCGUGAGUGAAGAAGGCCCUCGGGUUGUAAAGCUCUUUUGUCCGGAAAGAAAAGCUUCGGGUUAAUACCCCGGGGUUCUGACGGUACCGGAAGAAUAAGCACCGGCUAACUUCGUGCCAGCAGCCGCGGUAAUACGAAGGGUGCAAGCGUUACUCGGAAUUACUGGGCGUAAAGCGUGCGUAGGUGGUUGUUUAAGUCUGAUGUGAAAGCCCUGGGCUCAACCUGGGAAUGGCAUUGGAAACUGGGUAGCUAGAGCGCGGUAGAGGGUAGUGGAGUUCCCGGUGUAGCAGUGAAAUGCGUAGAGAUCGGGAGGAACAUCUGUGGCGAAGGCGACUGCCUGGACCAGCACUGACACGGAGGCACGAAAGCGUGGGGAGCAAA